GCCAGACUCCUACGGGAGGCAGCAGUGGGGGAUAUUGCACAAUGGGGGGAACCCUGAUGCAGCAACGCCGCGUGAGUGAAGAAGUAUUUCGGUAUGUAAAGCUCUAUCAGCAGGGAAGAAGAUGACGGUACCUGACCAAGAAGCCCCGGCUAACUACGUGCCAGCAGCCGCGGUAAUACGUAGGGGGCAAGCGUUAUCCGGAUUUACUGGGUGUAAAGGGAGCGCAGACGGCAGUGCAAGUCUGGAGUGAAAGCCCGGGGCCCAACCCCGGAACUGCUCUGGAAACUGUGCGGCUAGAGUACUGGAGGGGCAGGCGGAAUUCCUAGUGUAGCGGUGAAAUGCGUAGAUAUUAGGAGGAACACCAGUGGCGAAGGCGGCCUGCUGGACAGUAACUGACGUUGAGGCUCGAAAGCGUGGGGAGCAAACAGGAUUAGAUACCCGAGUAUAU
RNAcentral lists this ribosomal RNA (448 nucleotides) under uncultured bacterium. RNAcentral's name for it is "partial 16S ribosomal RNA". It matches the Rfam family "Bacterial small subunit ribosomal RNA", at positions 330 to 794 of the family's 1533-position model. The record is from RNAcentral.